Molecule: long non-coding RNA, 1136 nt
Organism: Pleuronectes platessa (European plaice)
Lineage: Eukaryota; Metazoa; Chordata; Actinopteri; Pleuronectiformes; Pleuronectidae
Exons: 4
Source: RefSeq, a predicted model, not a curated record
CGUGGGAAAUGAGGAAGACGAUGGUGGAAGUUUGAGAGGAGAAGAAAGUACAGGAUCAGUAAGAAGAGACGAAGAAGAAGCAGAAACUUCUUCACCGCCUCCUCGUUGUCAUUUGUUGUCAAACUCUGCGCUGCCCUCUACUGGAUGUACGGGUCAAUGACAACGUAAAGGACGUACGUUAGCAUGUGGACAUCGUUAAACUGAUUCCUACGAACAGGAGCGUCUCCCUCUGACUGUCUGAGAGUAGCUCCUGUUAGCUAGUAGCUGCUGGGCUAACCUAGGUCGCUAUUUAAGACGUUUUCAUGUUUAAUGUUUGAAUAAACACGUGAACUGAGCUGAAAUGAGUCAAAGAGUUUUGAACACAAGCCUGAAGCCGCAGUUAGCACUUAGCACUUAGCUUACCUAGCUCCCCUCGGUGCAGCGGGGACACAGGAAGCAGCUGCAGGUUUAUUCCCACAAUCUGACAACGAACAUUUACUCCCGCCGAUCAGCUGAUGCUAAUGUUAGCCGCUAUCGCCGCCGCUUCCGGAACUUCUUCUUCGCUGACAUGAAAGAUGUCUCAGACCCACAACCAGUUAACCUCUGCAAAGUCUAAGACAGUCAAACCGCGCAAGGGAGCUGCUGCAGAGAGAAAAACUCUUAAGAACAACAGGUUUGUCGGCUCUACUUCCUGUUAUGUCUGCUGGGAGGAGGUUCUGCAGGUCCUCCCCUCAUCAGGUCAGGCCUGGCUGUGGGUGGAAGCUGCUAUGUAGAGAAGCAAAAACCUCCAACAUGCCAUCACCACACCAGAACGCCCCUCGCCAGCUUCACGCCACCCACAGGGGAGGAAGGUGGAGUAGGAAGAGGAAGAGGAGGAGGUGGAGUUACUGUCAGCUGACACCCUGCAAGUGUUUCAGAUUUAGAAGUAAGAAGUUGUGGGUCCAGCUGGGAUGUACAGCUGGGUGUCGUCUGCGUCACAGUGGAAGUGGACCAGGUGCUUUCUGAGGAUGUGGCCUAAAGGAGCAGAUAUAAGGUGAAGAGCACCGGUCCAAGGACAGAACACUGAGGAACUCCAUGACUAACCUGUGUGUGCAUGGAGGAGUCAGUGUUAACAUGAACAAAUGGAAAUCUAUGUGAUAAAUAUGAUUUAAACCAGU